This is a long non-coding RNA of Cryptotermes secundus, 2437 nucleotides long. RefSeq lists it as uncharacterized. Lineage: Eukaryota; Metazoa; Arthropoda; Insecta; Blattodea; Kalotermitidae. The record is from RefSeq and is a predicted model, not a curated record. The transcript has 3 exons.
UAGACAGAAGUCCUUUUUCAUCGGUAGCGUCGGAGUGUAAGGUGAUAAUUAUUGCGUUGCAGUUUUAAUCCGUUGCAUCUUGUUGUGUUUAUUGUACAAAAUUGUUUAUUGGGAUCCGUUGCAAGACAGUAACUACUGCGUAGUAAUUCUGAGAUGAUUUUGGAAUGUUUUGCGCGUAAUUGGAAAAACGGGGAGAACUAAGUUCUGCGCUGUCACUAGUUGCUCGUCAUUUAUUAGGCAGAGAAGUUUAAAAUUUGUGAUGCUGUGCGGUGCAAACAGCCGGAUCUGUGGGCAGCAAAAACCUGGCAGCUCCAUCAUGACAAUGCACCCGCCCGUUCUGUGCAUCUGAUUCAGACUUUCGUCGCCAAACACAACAUCCCUCUGCGUGCAUUACCAAGGAGGGUGCUGCAGUGAAUACCUGGCAACCGCUGUGUUUGUUGAGCAGAUUGACAACCACUCUGAUAGUUUCAGUGGGAAGGGACCAAAGGAGACAACUGCAUUGUCCACUCAGUGAUAACAGUCCCCAUAUAGAGCACUGGGAAAAGGCAAAUAUGGGGAUGAAUGGUUGGAUCUUCCUCAAGGAUGGUAAACCUGCCUUUCUUCAUCGUCCUCCACAGACUAUUUGGCUUAUUGACUUUUCUGCUACCCAACACAUGUGGAGAACUGUGAAAGAGUCGUGUUUCAAGUAGGAUAUAUGUGUACCUUCACACCCAGAACCUGACUCAGAAUCCCGAGAACAAAUUUGGGCCAUUCGUACUGUGUUUCAAGCAAUAAGUGGGUCAGUUUGUAGAUGCACUGAAGACUAGCGACAUCAGUGGCCUUUGUUUUAGAGGUCUGGGUGAAACUAAUUGUUAAUAAUUGUGAGGAUGAUGGUGCUACUCAUCUGGAUAACUGGCAGUCAUUGUUCCGGGCACCUGAUGCUUCUUCACAAAAUCCUUCCACAAGUCAUGGCAAGGAAACCCCUGAUGAUGUUCCUGAGACAUUCCAUGUUUCUCAGCAAGUACAGAAGGACAUGAGUCCUGCAGUAUCUGCUAGUGACAUGGAAAUGUUCUCAGUAGCCUAUGUCAGUGGUUCCAUUGCCAGACAGGUGCUUUGUGGUGUCACCUGUGAUGUGUCACCUGACAUCUGAAGUGCUGCUAUCAGCCAAUGUCUUCAUAUAUUUCAAGGAGUGCAGUGAUACAGAACAGUCUCUCACCUAUCCUUCUGAGAAGCUAGUGGAGGCUGUUGGUAUUGCUGUAACUCUGAUGGAGUGUAUAAUGGCAGAGGCUGCCCACUUGAAUUCAGUGGAGCAGCAUAUCACAGCUGCCAUGAAGAGCACCCUUGACUUCGAGCGGAUUAGGUGUAUUGGCUGUUCACUUCACCACCAAUGAAUAGUAGAUUGUAUUGUGAGAUGUCUCACAAGAAUUUACAUUCCUUGGUGGUAUAAGCGAAGAAACAGGUUGAUGGCUGAAGCAGCCAGGCAGAGGGCCAAAGAGAGGAAGAUGAAGAUACUGUCUCAUCAGUAAGUCAGGAAAGCAAUGCUUCUUCAUUUUUCCCUUAUAAUGUCCUGCCCAUACCAACCCUGGAAAUUGACAGAGAGCAGUUAUGAAAUUACUGGAAGAAUAUUUGGGAACUAGAUCAGAUGUUUCAUAAGUUGGAGAAAGUAACACUGGUGACAAGCAGCUGCAGUGGAGCAACAGAAAUUACCAAGUAAUCACAUGCACUUGCCUUAGAGCUGUGGUAUUGAGUACGUUGUUGACAACAUCAGCAUCAACCUUCAUGGAUUACAUACGAGGAGCCUAUUAUGAACUUGAGCUACACCUCUUCCCUGCUUUGCAGAAGGUUCUUUUGUCUCAGUAUAUUAGAAUUCUGCCGUCAGAAAACGGUCAGAUUUAAUUCUGCCCUUUAUCUGCAAGGAAGUAUAUUUUGAUGGAGAAUUAUGGGAAAAGUUAUUUUCUGACACAUGGUUCUUGUGUAUAUGUAGGUAAACAUGAAACGGUGUUACUUUAUAACUGAUUUGCAGUAUUCAGGUUACCUGUUUCAGCUUUAAACUCCGAGGAACAGAAUCAUUAUCAGGAUUCACUAUGGGUAGGACAUUUUAGAUAUACUACUGUUUUAGAUAAUUAUUUACCUAUUUCAUUAUUUUCGGUAUAUUCUUCCGUUUUAUUGUAACAUAUAUUUCUAAUUUUUGCAAUUUGAUCCUGUCCAUUCCUGUAGUGGAAGAUGAAUAUCAGAUUUCCAGUAUUCUGUAAGGUGUGUUAUAUUUGCCAUUUAAUCUUGUCAAUUAGUGUAAGGGGAGAUAAAUAUCACAUUUCCAGUAUCUGUAAAAUAUUUUGUCAUUUCAGAUUUUCAUUAUUCAUUAUAAUUCUAUAAGAUAUUUUUACUGUAUAUUCUAGUUUAGUACUGGUGAAGUUAAAUGUAUCACAUUUUCAUACAUCAUUAAAUGUAAUCUUGUUGA